This 393-nucleotide ribosomal RNA is filed under the name uncultured bacterium. RNAcentral's name for it is "bacterial SSU rRNA". It matches the Rfam family "Bacterial small subunit ribosomal RNA", at positions 505 to 898 of the family's 1533-position model. The record is from RNAcentral.
GUGUCAGCAGCCGCGGUAAUACGUAGGCAGCGAGCGUUGUUCGGAGUUACUGGGCGUAAAGAGUGCGUAGGCGGUGACCUAAGUCUGGUGUGAAAUCUCCCGGCUCAACUGGGAGGGUGCGCCGGAAACUGGGUUGCUUGAGUGUGGGAGAGGCUAGCGGAAUUCCUGGUGUAGCGGUGAAAUGCGUAGAGAUCAGGAGGAACACCUGCGGUGUAGACGGCUGGCUGGACCACGACUGACGCUGAGGCACGAAAGCGUGGGGAGCAAACAGGAUUAGAUACCCUGGUAGUCCACGCCCUAAACGAUGCAUACUUGGUGUGGGUGAUUCAUUUCAUCCGUGCCGGAGCUAACGCGUUAAGUAUGCCGCCUGGGGAGUACGGUCGCAAGGCUGAA